GUGCUCAUGGACCUCAUGAACACACAUCGAGAUUGGGAGAAAAGAGGAGCAAGGACCAGUCCUGGGACGCUCCAACGUUUAAGAAUCAGGGAGAAGAGGAGGAUCCAGUUGAGGAGAACGAGGAGGAGAAACCAAGGAGGGAGGAGAAAAAGCAAGAAAAGGGAUUUUAGGUGGAAACUAGCAAUUGCGCUCAAUGUUGUUGAAAAGUCAAGCUGGAUGUAGACUGAAAAUUGACUACUUGCUUGAACCACACAGGUCAUUGGUGACCUGGGCUAAAGCACUUUUGGUGGAGUGAUAAGGCUGGACUCUAACUACUAUGGAUUCAAGAGGAACAGAAUCUAUGUCUUAUGUUUCAUUAUGU
This is a long non-coding RNA of Lontra canadensis (Northern American river otter), 361 nucleotides long. RefSeq lists it as uncharacterized. NCBI's taxonomy places the organism in Eukaryota, Metazoa, Chordata, Mammalia, Carnivora, Mustelidae. The transcript is spliced from 2 exons. The record is from RefSeq and is a predicted model, not a curated record.